Molecule: long non-coding RNA, 379 nt
Organism: Mya arenaria
Lineage: Eukaryota; Metazoa; Mollusca; Bivalvia; Myida; Myidae
Exons: 3
Source: RefSeq, a predicted model, not a curated record
AGUUCUAAGAACAACGAAGGGUGUACUCCGCUUUGGCUUGCGGCCGAGUCUGGGCAUCUCAAAUGUGUGGAGCUAUUGUCUACUGGAACCGAUUUAAUCAAUACUGCGAACGAAAAUAAGCUUACACCUUUGAUGGUUGCUAGCAAAAACGGACAUGCUGACGUUGUGGAAUACUUGAUAAAGAAAGAUGCCGACGUUACUAAAUUAGACAAAAAGGAUCACAAUUGCUUAGACAUCGCUAUACUCAAUAAUCAUGAGUGUGUUGCAAAGACAAUUAUUAAAUCAAACCGGUGGGAUAAAGCUCUUAAAAACUACACGAAGACCGAUGACGGCAUGGAAUGUACGCCGUUCAGAAAACUUAUUCGGCACAUGCCACGUA